RNAcentral lists this long non-coding RNA (2371 nucleotides) under Mytilus galloprovincialis (Mediterranean mussel). Lineage: Eukaryota; Metazoa; Mollusca; Bivalvia; Mytilida; Mytilidae. The record is from RNAcentral.
CCGGAGAGACUCAAGAAUUUUGUUUAUUAUGACAUAUAAAGGCUGAAACAUUUAGUGACAUCACAAACGAUAAACAACUUUCAGUGUGUUUUGCAAUAUUAUUGAAGAUAUUUUUUUGGGAUACAUUUGAAAAAGGAUUAUUUUGUGAAACAUUAAAAAGCCCACAUUAUAUUCCCUGUUACAGGUAAGUCUACAAAUUAAAUAUCAGGUAAACUCUGUACUUCCCAGAUUUUUGUUUAAUAUUCAUUCCCGUCUAAUUUUUAACUUGAUUUAAUUGGUCUGUACAUUUACAUCAAUAUAGAUUUAGACGUCAUACAAAGUAAUUAUACUGAAUCUGAAUACUUUUUAUUCUAUGUCGCUUUUAAAAGUUUAUUUAUUCAUGAUUGACAUAAAAAUGCCAAAGUGACUCCAGAGUCCAGAAGGUAAUAUUUAUGUGUUUUUAAAACGAUGGUACAUUUUAAGGUAAAAAAGUAAAAAAUUCAAUGCACCUCCUUUUCUUGGACAGAGCUAUUUAGCUACCACAUGGAAUUAAAGGUAGUACCGUGUGUUUAUUUCAUUGGUUGGGGUGCCAUCAGAAACUCUAACCUGUUUCUCAACUAGUAGCAAAGUUAAAUAUUUCUGCAAAUUCUUGAUUACUCAUGAGGUACCCAUGAAAAUUUCAUCGGUAAAGGUUAACCACAAUUUUAAAUUGCCAACACAAUUUCUUUUCAAUUUCUACAUUUUCUUUUAAGUUGUUACCAGAAUGAGGAAAAAACUGUAGAAACAGUUAUCCUCCACAAAACAAUUUAUCUUAAUCAACUAAAAUUGGUAUCCUAGAAGAAAAAUUUAUCCACAGCAGUUUCAAGCGUUCCAAAAUACUUUUACUUUUGACUUAUUAUAUGCUUUCUAUAUAUACCUCACUGUAUAAUGUACUGACUUACUGUACAUAUCCUUGUGAACUAUCAUAUUAAAAAUCCAAGUCAACAUGUCGGGCAAGUACAAAGGUGGAUACAUAUUUAUUUCACACCAAUUUGUUUUUUUUCGUCUAUGCAUAUGAAAGUGCAGCAGCCACUCAACGUUAAACACAACUAUAUCUGACAUCAUCAGGGUUGGAUCCAGCCAUUUUCAAAAGGGGGGUUCCCAACCCAGAAUAAAAAGGAGGGUCCAACUGUAUGUCCUUAUUUAAAUUUAUUGAUCAGCAAAAAAAGAGAGGGGUUCCAACCCGGUUCCAACCCCCGUAACCCUCCCCUGGAUCCACUACUGCAUUAUCAUCAUGUAAUGGCAGUUUAUUUGAUAAAAGAGAAUAAAUAGAAUCUUGAUUAUUUGACUAACAAAUGUUAGACUAUUUGAUAAAGCACAAACCUCCUCGCAAAAAUAGAUUAACAAGGAUGAAGUAUGCUCACAAAAGAAACUGAUAGUUUUUAUGCACAAAUUUGGGUAUAGAUUAUAACAAAAGGGAUGCUGUAUUGAAAGCUAAAAAUAGUCACAGUCAAUACAGUUGCUAUAGAUCUUUAAACAUUAUUUGAUUUCUUUAGUAUUUAUCUUAUCAAAUAUUUAGUGCGCAAUAAUAUUUAACAUUUGAAAGUCAAGGCCAAAUCAUUGAAAUUCCAUACCCUGAUAAGACUAGCUUGUUUUGCAUUUCUUGAGAAUUGUUUUUUUUCACCGUUCAUUUUCAUCUAGCUGCUCUAGCAAGAACCUGUUUGUGAUUGAAGAUUUAAGAAAAAUUUGUUUCCAAACAUGCAGUAAAGAGUAAUAAAAAAUGAACUAUACAAUGUCAGGGCCAAUUCAAAGUCAGUAUGUACAAAUUCUAUGUACAAGUAUGGGAAAACUUUGCAAGCAAACAUGCAAUACUGUUAAUUCUUUUAAUUAUUUGUUGAUCCAAUUUCCGUGGGUUUCAUCAUACAAGUGGAACAUUAACUAUAUUAUAAUACAUGUAUAUAAUUAUAACAUGUAUAUCUCUUUACAAGAUUUCAAUUAAGAUUUACGACCUAAUGCCCAUGUUGCAUCAGAAUGCAAAAGUUUAAGAAUUGAUGAAAAGUAUCUUUUUGCAUUUUCAAAAGUAUUUUUACUCAAAUAUUAAGGAAAGCCCAUAAAUACAGACUUGAAGAACUUAAACAGGUAGAAAUAAUCAAUAUAGGAUAUCUUUUUAGAUUUGAUCAAAUUGCGAAAAACUCUGGAACUUGGACGUAAAUGAAUGUUAAGGUAUGGCCAAAAGGACAAACAUGGAGCUUUAUCUAUAGAUUGAAUUGUUUUAUAGAGAAACAUUGGUAUAGAUGUUUUACAUCACAAUGUCCAACGUUAACGCUAGGCAACUUUGAAAUGUGUAAUAAACAGAACAGUUUUAAAAUGUCUCUUUUUAUAUUGCAGGAGUCUAAUGGAAGAAAUGAAAAAU